Molecule: ribosomal RNA, 328 nt
Filed under: uncultured eukaryote
Lineage: Eukaryota
Description: partial 18S ribosomal RNA
Rfam family: Eukaryotic small subunit ribosomal RNA
Source: RNAcentral
CCCUUAGAUGUUCUGGGCAGCACGCGCGCUACACUGAUGCAUUCAACGAGUUUCUUCCUGGUCCGAGAGGAGUGGGUAACCUUUUGAAAGUGCAUCGUGAUAGGGAUAGACUAUUGCAAUUAUUGGUCUUCAACGAGGAAUUCCUAGUAGACGUAGUUCAUCAGACUGCAUCGAUUACGUCCCUGCCCUUUGUACACACCGCCCGUCGCUCCUACCGAUUGAAUGAUCCGAUGAAUAUCAUGGAUUGAGGAUGCAAGUAGGUUCGCCUAUCUUCAUCUUCGAGAAGUGAAGUAAAUCUUAUCAUUUAGAGGAAGGAGAAGUCGUAACA